This 476-nucleotide ribosomal RNA is filed under the name uncultured anaerobic ammonium-oxidizing bacterium. RNAcentral describes it as "bacterial SSU rRNA". It matches the Rfam family "Bacterial small subunit ribosomal RNA", at positions 365 to 832 of the family's 1533-position model. The record is from RNAcentral.
UUCGCAAUGCCCGAAAGGGUGACGAUGCGACGCCGCGUGAGCGAAGAAGGCCCUAGGGUUGUAAAGCUCUGUCGAGGGUUAUGAAAUAUAGAUGGGUUAAUACCCCAUUUAUUUGACAAAAGCCCAAAAGGAAGCCACGGCUAACUCCGUGCCAGCAGCCGCGGUAAUACAGAGGUGGCGAGCGUUGUUCGGUAUUAUUGGGCGUAAAGAGCACGUAGGUGGUUUUGUAAGUCAGGUGUGAAAGCCUUCUGUUCAAAGGAAGAACGGCAUCUGAAACUGCAGAUCUUGAGUGUAGGAGGGGAGAGUGGAACUUCUGGUGGAGCGGUGAAAUGCGUAGAUAUCAGAAGGAACGUCGGCGGCGAAAGCGACUCUCUGGCCUAUUACUGACACUGAGGUGCGAAAGUUAGGGGAGCAAACGGGAUUAGAUACCCCGGUAGUCCUAACCGUAAACGAUGGGCACUAAGUAGAGGGGUUUU